Molecule: long non-coding RNA, 1084 nt
Filed under: Homo sapiens (human)
Lineage: Eukaryota; Metazoa; Chordata; Mammalia; Primates; Hominidae
Description: non-protein coding lnc-NBPF1-2:10
Source: RNAcentral
CUCUACUUUUUUGAAGAGAUCACACUGUACUGAAACCUACAUUAUUUUCCAAAAUCUCUGGAUCUGCUUCUGUCUUGCAGGCAGAGAGCUCAUCCAGUAGCCCUUAGCUCUUCCCAGCCCCCUCCUUUGAUUUGUGGGUGCCACUGCGGCAGCUGCUGAGUCUCAGUGGUUUCUGGUCUUCACCAAGUUCUGCCCACCCAGAUGGUUUUUACCUGUCCUCACCAGAAACCUGCACUGUCUAGAUUGCUGAGGCUGCUUCUCCUUAACCGAUCUGCUAUCUGUAUUCCAGGGGCACCCCAGGGUUAGAGGUAAAUGGCACAGGCCUUGAAAUCUCCAACUGCUCUGACUCCAGGGAGCCUUGGAAGGAGCCCGAAUCACUGAUGGAAUUGGACAGUGCAUGGAGAUGGUUCAGCAGGACAAGGUGCUGAAAACUCAUCCCCGUGUGACCUCAAGUAAGCCAUGUAACUCUGUGAACCUGCAGUUUUAUCAUUUUUAAAAUAAAGAAACAUGACAGAUUUUCAUUAUGACACAGAAUGUCAGGUCUCCCAGAUGCCAGAAAAUACAUUUACUUAAAGCCGUUGAUACGUCUUAAAGCGGUUUCCUUACAGUGUCAUUGGAGGACAGUGUGGAGUGCAGAGAGACAUGCUUUGAAAUGGGAUUGAUCCAGUCCUCCUUCCUUCACUACCACAUGAAUGCUGGGCAGCCCAGGGUCAACCCACCGCACCCUCAACUCAGACGGUUACCUGGCACGCUGGCCACAGUCUACCUCACUCUUAUCAGAGUCUGAGCUACUGGCAGUGCUUUCAGCUCUGAGUUCAGGCACCUCGAACCUUGUUUUUGUGGUGAAGGAUCCUAAAGUGCUGUGGGGAGUGAUCACAUUUUUCACAACAUCCCUGGCUCCACCUCUUCUGCCACAAACGUCAGCAUGGUGGUAUCAGCUGGCCCUUGGUCCAGCGAGAAGGCAGAGACGAACAUUUUAGAAAUCAACGAGAAAUUGCGCCCCCAGCUGGCAGAGAACAAACAGCAGUUCAGAAACCUCAAAGAGAAAUGUUUUGUAACUCAACUGGCCGGCUUCCUGGCCAAC